RNAcentral lists this long non-coding RNA (347 nucleotides) under Salvia miltiorrhiza (redroot sage). RNAcentral's name for it is "long non-coding RNA (SMIL_LNC001816)". Lineage: Eukaryota; Viridiplantae; Streptophyta; Magnoliopsida; Lamiales; Lamiaceae. The record is from RNAcentral.
UUUGUCAUUGGUGUAGACAAAAACAAUUUCUGCACAACUCAUGAAUACACGGCAGAAAAUAAGCAGCAUAAGCUCACCCUCAAAGAGAUCAGCUCCCCCAAAACACAAAACCUGCACCAGCAAAUCUGCACCAGCAAUAUGAAAAUCUGCACCAACAAAACACAAAGUCCUUCAAAGAAAUGCACCAGCAGACUGACAAAGAACUCCCCCUCAAAAGGAAAUCUGCUCCCCCUCAAAAACCAUAGAAAAGCAUAAAUGAAAUGCUAUCGUCAGUCGCACAGCCAAAAGCACAGACCAUAAGCACAGACAAUAUAUAUACUCCCCCUUUUUGUCACAACAAUGACAAA